This 526-nucleotide ribosomal RNA is filed under the name uncultured bacterium. Its description in RNAcentral is "partial 16S ribosomal RNA". It matches the Rfam family "Bacterial small subunit ribosomal RNA", at positions 355 to 871 of the family's 1533-position model. The record is from RNAcentral.
UGGGGAAUAUUGCACAAUGGGCGCAAGCCUGAUGCAGCCAUGCCGCGUGUGUGAAGAAGGCCUUCGGGUUGUAAAGCACUUUCAGCGAGGAGGAAGGUGGUGGACUUAAUACGUUCAUCAAUUGACGUUACUCGCAGAAGAAGCACCGGCUAACUCCGUGCCAGCAGCCGCGGUAAUACGGAGGGUGCAAGCGUUAAUCGGAAUUACUGGGCGUAAAGCGCACGCAGGCGGUUUGUUAAGUCAGAUGUGAAAUCCCCGGGCUCAACCUGGGAACUGCAUUUGAAACUGGCAAGCUAGAGUCUCGUAGAGGGGGGUAGAAUUCCAGGUGUAGCGGUGAAAUGCGUAGAGAUCUGGAGGAAUACCGGUGGCGAAGGCGGCCCCCUGGACGAAGACUGACGCUCAGGUGCGAAAGCGUGGGGAGCAAACAGAUUAGAUACCCUGGUAGUCCAGCGCUGUAAAACGAUGUCGAUUUGGAGGUUGUGCCCCUUGAGGCGUGGCUUCCGGAGCUAACGUGUUAAAUCGACCG